This 361-nucleotide ribosomal RNA is filed under the name uncultured bacterium. RNAcentral describes it as "bacterial SSU rRNA". It matches the Rfam family "Bacterial small subunit ribosomal RNA", at positions 28 to 384 of the family's 1533-position model. The record is from RNAcentral.
GAUGAACGCUAGCGGCAGGCUUAAUACAUGCAAGUCGAACGGUAACAGGUUUGUAGCAAUACAGAUGCUGACGAGUGGCAGACGGGUGAGGAACACGUACACAACUUCCCUUUAUCUGGUGAAUAGCCCCUCGAAAGAGGGAUUAAUACACCAUAACAUCUUGAAGAGUCAUCUCUUUACGAUUAAAGCUCAGGCGGAUAGAGAUGGGUGUGCGUCGAUUAGCUAGUUGGUUGAGGUAACGGCUCACCAAGGCGACGAUCAGUAACUGGUGUGAGAGCACGACAGUCACACGGGCACUGAGAUACGGGCCCGACUCCUACGGGAGCAGCAGUAAGGAAUAUUGGUCAAUGGACGCAAGUCU